AUUGAACGCUGGCGGCAGGCCUAACACAUGCAAGUCGAACGAGUGGCGGACGGGUGAGUAAUGUCUGGGAAACUGCCCGAUGGCGGGGGAUAACUACUGGAAACGGUAGCUAAUACCGCAUACCAGCGGAUGGGCCCAGAUGGGAUUAGCGAGUAGGUGGGGUAACGGCUUACCGAGGCGAAGAGCCCUAGCUGGUCUGAGAGGAUGACCAGCCACACGGGAACUGAGACACGGUCCAGACUCCUACGGGAGGCAGCAGUGGGGAAUUUUGCGCAAUGGGCGAAAGCCUGAUGCAGCCAUGCCGCGUGUAUGAAGAAGGCCUUCGGGUUGUAAAGUACUGUCAGCGAGGAGGCGUUACUCGCAGAAGAAGCACCGGCUAACUCCGUGCCAGCAGCCGCGGUAAUUC
This 406-nucleotide ribosomal RNA is filed under the name uncultured bacterium. Its description in RNAcentral is "partial 16S ribosomal RNA". It matches the Rfam family "Bacterial small subunit ribosomal RNA", at positions 29 to 526 of the family's 1533-position model. The record is from RNAcentral.